This is a non-coding RNA of Biomphalaria pfeifferi, 836 nucleotides long. The record is from the annotation of a GenBank genome assembly. NCBI's taxonomy places the organism in Eukaryota, Metazoa, Mollusca, Gastropoda, Planorbidae.
UUUGAAAGGUUUUAUUCUUUUUUUUUUUUUUUGCCUGAACAAAGUUUUUUAUUUUUACGAUCUCUCUCAAUUUUGCAUCAAGACUUCCCAACAAUCCUGAUUGAAAUAUGUCUCUUUACACAGGAAAUUAAUCCAGAUUGUUGUCGCACUAAUAAGCGUAAAACAUUUUACCAUGUAAAACAAAUGAUUACACAAGAUGGCUGACUUACAAGACUCACUAUGACGGACAAUCAUUCCAGGCUUUUGAUUAUUUAUCGGUAUUAAAGGUUACCAAAACUACAUUUUUGGAUUAGAUGGUGUUAUUUUUAUUCAACCAAUGCUAGAAAACUUACUAAUAUCUGAGGAUGGUUUUAUUUCUGUAAAUUGACAAAGUUUAAAAAAUAUAUCCUUUUUAAAAUAAUUUUCUAACAAAGUAGCAAGCAUGGAUAUACAUUUUCUUAAACUUAUUUUGGUGAUCCAUUGUUAUAUCACAUAAAUACUUCUAAUACUUGUAAUCUUUCUGUGUACAUGUUCAGUUUUAAUAUCAAUGUUUCCAUCAUCAAGUUUAGUUGUCAAAUAGUUGAAUAGUACCACCAAAACAAGAAAAAACAAAAAUAUCUAUAAAAAAAAAAAAAACACUUUGUCUCCGUGAGUCUUCUGUCACUAUUUAAAACACUAUGCAGGAAUAAAAUGAUUGAGAGAGGACAUCAAUGAGUCAUGGAUACAUAAGUUUGAAACAAAAAUACAAGACAUGCAUAGCAAGCAAUGAAAUGAAUUCAAGGAGGAAAAACAUAACAGCAGAAAUAAAUACUUGGCCAGAUUUUUAAAGCAGAAAUAAAUACUUGGCCAGAUUUUUA